Molecule: ribosomal RNA, 465 nt
Filed under: Vreelandella stevensii
Lineage: Bacteria; Pseudomonadati; Pseudomonadota; Gammaproteobacteria; Oceanospirillales; Halomonadaceae
Description: partial 16S ribosomal RNA
Rfam family: Bacterial small subunit ribosomal RNA
Source: RNAcentral
CCUACGGGGGGCAGCAGUGGGGAAUAUUGGACAAUGGGGGGAACCCUGAUCCAGCCAUGCCGCGUGUGUGAAGAAGGCCCUCGGGUUGUAAAGCACUUUCAGUGAGGAAGAACGCCUGGUGGUUAAUACCCAUCAGGAAAGACAUCACUCACAGAAGAAGCACCGGCUAACUCCGUGCCAGCAGCCGCGGUAAUACGGAGGGUGCGAGCGUUAAUCGGAAUUACUGGGCGUAAAGCGCGCGUAGGUGGCUUGAUAAGCCGGUUGUGAAAGCCCCGGGCUCAACCUGGGAACGGCAUCCGGAACUGUCAAGCUAGAGUGCAGGAGAGGAAGGUAGAAUUCCCGGUGUAGCGGUGAAAUGCGUAGAGAGCGGGAGGAAUACCAGUGGCGAAGGCGGCCUUCUGGACUGACACUGACACUGAGGUGCGAAAGCGUGGGUAGCAAACAGGAUUAGAUACCCUUGUAGUC